This 730-nucleotide ribosomal RNA is filed under the name uncultured eukaryote. RNAcentral's name for it is "SSU rRNA". It matches the Rfam family "Eukaryotic small subunit ribosomal RNA", at positions 670 to 1426 of the family's 1831-position model. The record is from RNAcentral.
CGGGUGCACUGAUCCGGCCGGGCCUUUCCCUCUGUGGAACCCCAUGGCCUUCACUGGCUGUGCGGGGGAAACAGGACUUUUACUGUGAAAAAAUUAGAGUGCUCCAGGCAGGCCUAUGCUCGAAUACAUUAGCAUGGAAUAAUAGAAUAGGACGCGUGGUUCUAUUUUGUUGGUUUCUAGGACCGCCGUAAUGAUUAAUAGGGACAGUCGGGGGCAUCAGUAUUCAAUUGUCAGAGGUGAAAUUCUUGGAUCUAUUGAAGACUAACUACUGCGAAAGCAUUUGCCAAGGGUGUCUUCAUUGAUAAGGAACGAAAGUUAGGGGAUCGAAGACGAUCAGAUACCGUCGUAGUCUUAACUAUAAACUAUGCCGACUAGGGAUCGGACGAUGUUAUUUCUUGACGCGUUCGGCACCUUUCGAGAAAUCAAAGUGCUUGGGCUCCAGGGGGAGUAUGGUCGCAAGGCUGAAACUUAAAGAAAUUGACGGAAGGGCACCACCAGGGGUGGAACCUGCGGCUUAAUUUGACUCAACACGGGGAAACUCACCAGGUCCAGACACAGUGAGGAUUGACAGAUUGAGAGCUCUUUCUUGAUUCUGUGGGUGGUGGUGCAUGGGCCGUUCUUAGUUGGUGGAGUGAUUUGUCUGCUUAAUUGCGAUAACGAACGAGACCUUAACCUGCUAAAUAGCCCGUACUGCUCUGGCAGUUCGCCGGCUUCUUAGAGGGACUAUCGG